UAACGCGUGAGGAACCUGCCUUGAAGAGGGGGGAAACAGUUGGAAACGACUGCUAAUACCGCAUGAAGCAUAGGGGUCGCAUGAUUCUUAUGCCAAAGAUUUAUCGCUUCAAGAUGGCCUCGCGUCUGAUUAGCUGGUUGGCGGGGUAACGGCCCACCAAGGCGACGAUCAGUAGCCGGACUGAGAGGUUGAACGGCCACAUUGGGACUGAGAUACGGCCCAG
Molecule: ribosomal RNA, 223 nt
Filed under: uncultured bacterium
Lineage: Bacteria
Description: partial 16S ribosomal RNA
Rfam family: Bacterial small subunit ribosomal RNA
Source: RNAcentral